Molecule: ribosomal RNA, 468 nt
Filed under: uncultured bacterium
Lineage: Bacteria
Description: partial 16S ribosomal RNA
Rfam family: Bacterial small subunit ribosomal RNA
Source: RNAcentral
GACGAACGCUGGCGGCGUGCUUAACACAUGCAAGUCGAACGGAAAGGCCCUGCUUUUGUGGGGUGCUCGAGUGGCGAACGGGGGAGUAACACGUGAGUAACCUGCCCUUGACUUUGGGAUAACUUCAGGAAACUGGGGCUAAUACCGGAUAGGAGCUCCUGUUGCAUGGUGGGGGUUGGAAAGUUUCGGCGGUUGGGGAUGGACUCGCGGCUUAUCAGCUCGUUGGUGGGGUAGUGGCUUACCAAGGCUUGGACGGGUACCCGGCCUGAGAGGGUGACCGGGCACAUUGGGACUGCGAUACGGCGCAGACUCCUACGGGAGACAGCAGUGGCGAAUAUUGCACAGUGAGAGGAAGCCUGAUGCAGCGACGCCGCGUGCGGAAUGACGGCCUUCGGGUUAUGAACCGCUUUCGCCUGUGACGAAGCGUGAGUGACGGUACUGGGAGAAGAAGCACCGGCUAACUACGUG